RNAcentral lists this ribosomal RNA (253 nucleotides) under uncultured bacterium. Its description in RNAcentral is "partial 16S ribosomal RNA". It matches the Rfam family "Bacterial small subunit ribosomal RNA", at positions 524 to 776 of the family's 1533-position model. The record is from RNAcentral.
UACGGGGGGGGCAAGCGUUGUUCGGAAUUACUGGGCGUAAAGGGCGCGUAGGCGGUUCGCUAAGUUGGAUGUGAAAACUCUGGGCUUAACCCAGAGCCUGCAUCCAAAACUGGCAAACUUGAGUACUGGAGGGGAAAGCGGAAUUCCUGGUGUAGCGGUGAAAUGCGUAGAUAUCAGGAGGAACACCAGUGGCGAAGGCGGCUACCUGGACCAGCACUGACACUGAGGCACGAAAGCGUGGGGAGCAAACAGG